This is an RNA transcript of Scophthalmus maximus (turbot), 5507 nucleotides long. It is a transcript of the gene named septin 6, with no coding region annotated. The record is from RefSeq and is a predicted model, not a curated record. Lineage: Eukaryota; Metazoa; Chordata; Actinopteri; Pleuronectiformes; Scophthalmidae. The transcript is spliced from 11 exons.
CCUACAAACAAGGUCAUGCUCAAGGUCAGAACCGGACCUCCAGGUACGUAUGUUGCGUAGGGCCCAACAAAUUAAGCAGCCAUGAAGAAACAGAGGAAAAAAAAAUCUACGAAAGUGACCUGCGGGAUCAGCACUAAGGGUGAAGGUGCUCGUGCUGUCCCCCUGGCAGGCCAUGUCGGCUUUGACAGCAUGCCUGACCAGCUGGUCAACAAAUCUGUCAACCACGGAUUCUGCUUCAACAUCCUCUGUGUUGGUGAGACGGGACUGGGGAAGUCCACCCUGAUGGACACAUUGUUCAACACCAAGUUUGAGGGCGAGCCGACCCAGCACAACCAGCCGGGAGUCACGCUCAAGUCCAACACCUAUGAGCUCCAGGAGAGUAACGUGCGCCUCAAACUCACUGUUGUCAACACUGUGGGCUUUGGAGACCAGAUCAAUAAAGAGGACAGCUACAAGUCCAUUGUGGAGUUUAUUGAUGCCCAGUUUGAAGCAUAUCUCCAGGAGGAACUAAAAAUCAAGCGCACGCUACACAGCUACCAUGACACCCGCAUCCACGCAUGCCUGUACUUUAUUGCUCCUACAGGACACUCACUGAAAUCAUUGGACUUGGUGACCAUGAAGAAACUUGACAGCAAGGUCAAUAUAAUCCCAAUCAUUGCCAAGUCAGACGCCAUCUCCAAAAGCGAGCUGGCCAAGUUCAAAAUCAAAAUCACCAGUGAGCUGGUCAGCAAUGGAGUGCAGAUCUACCAGUUCCCAACUGAUGACGAAUCUGUGGCAGAGAUCAACUCCACAAUGAAUAGCCAUUUGCCGUUUGCCGUGGUGGGGAGCACAGAGGAAGUGAAGAUUGGGAACAAGAUGGUGAAGGCCCGGCAGUACCCCUGGGGAACGGUGCAGGUGGAAAACGAGAAUCACUGUGACUUCGUCAAACUGCGAGAAAUGCUGAUCAGAGUCAACAUGGAGGACCUGCGAGAACAGACUCACACACGCCACUAUGAGCUGUACCGCCGCUGCAAACUGGAGGAGAUGGGCUUUAAGGACACGGACCCCGACUGCAAGCCCUUCAGUCUGCAGGAAACAUAUGAAGCUAAGAGGAACGAGUUCAUGGGCGAGCUGCAGAAAAAAGAGGAAGAAAUGAGGCAAAUGUUCGUCCAAAGAGUCAAAGAGAAGGAGGCUGAGCUGAAAGAAGCAGAGAAAGAGCUGCAUGAGAAGUUUGACCGUUUGAAGAAGCUCCACCAGGACGAGAAAAAGAAAGUGGAGGACAAGAAGAAAUCUCUGGACGACGAGCUAAAUACGUUCAAACAGAAAAAGACUGCCGCAGAGCUCUUGCAGAAUCAAGCUCAGCAGGCAGGGGGCUCCACCACGCUCAAGAGGGAGAAAGAGAGGAAAAACUGAUGAUUUGACUCCGUGCCUGUUAAAAAAGGAAGAAGACACUUGCACUGAGAAGCUUAGGAUCCCUGUAGAAAAAGUGCUCCCUUGUGGCCAUCCUGCUGUGAAUGAGUUUCCACCCCAUCAACCUUUUACCGUAUCCCUUCCCCACCCUCACCCAUCCCCCAUAAUUCAACCCUCCACGUGCCUCCCCCUGCUCUGUGGAAGACGCUGGCCAUUGCUAUCAGUUUUACACCACUUUUUUUUUCUUUUUUGCUGAAUGAUGCUCGUCUGUCAUUUGGUUUGUACAAGCAAUUAUCCAGCUUGUCUUUUUAUACACAAAAAUGCAUUCCAUAUUUUUUUUAUAUACAGCGAUUCUUUGCAUGAUGGAGUGAGCUUUGUUAAUAUUAACAUACAUGACCACUGUUGUGAUGGGCAGAAAUGUGUUGAGUCUAAAGAGAAACAUGAAUCGGCACUGGGACAGUGAAGAAAGAAUUGAGACAAUUGAAGACUGAUGCAAGGAUGGAUUCAGUAAAUGUUGUAAAAAACCUGAUGCAGCUUCAUUUCAGUGAUUCUUAAUUUGACACCACAUCAGUGACCCAGCUGUCCUCACCUUGAGACUGUAAAAAACUAUUACCAACAUAUUUGUAAGUAGUUGAUAAUCAGGCUGGAAGUAGUUUGUUACUGGUUUAAAGUGAUAUAUUUUUAAUUUUAAUCCUGGUUGAUUUGGCGACACCAGGGAUUAUUACCACGGAAACUACUAGUGAGGUUUUAUAUAGCAAAAAAUUGUGAGCACCUCCUUUUUUCAGAAAUGCAACAGCAGAGCAACUGGUUUAUUUGUUUUCAACGCGGCCACUUGUUUAAAAAAAAAAAAUCUGUCAAAAAUUGACGUCCAAUUCGAGUAGUUACUCCCUGCAGUAUUUAAAACUACACUUUUAUAGGCACAUUUUUGAUCAAACACUUAUCAUAGUGACAAAUGCAUUGCAUUUCCUCCCACACGCUUCACAAUUUGAUCGGUAUCAAAAAUGAGUUAAUUUCAUAAAAAUCUUAGGGAUUAGAACAUGGUGCGACUAGUUAAAUCCAAGUUUAGGACUCGGAUUAAAAUUUUGAAUUUUUUCUAUUUUGGUAUUUCUGUCCCUUUGCUAAUGUUGUUUCACUUUAGCCAGGUGCAUGAGUAAAUGUGAGCCUAAUCUCUUUUCCACCUCUGCCAUACCUCAUUCAUUGUCAUGUGUUAUGUGCAUAUUUGUAUUAGCUUUCACAUUUGCACUUUUUUUAUAUACACAAAUGUGAUGUUUUUUUAAGUAUAUAUAUAUAUAAUAUGAUAAUGUUUUCAGUGCAAUUGUAACUUUCUUUUUGUUUUACUUACUAUGAAGGCACAUUUAAAAAGUUAUUGAUCUUGAUGUCCAUUGUCCUGCAGGGACCAGUGUUAUUUGUAUCAGUGUUGCGAACAUAAAAAAAAAUAUAUAUAUAUAUAACUAAUAUCUCAAAAGACAAUAAAGGCCAAUUUUUCACCAAAUGUUACAGCUGUGGCCAUAAUCAUUGUGUAUGACAAAUAUUGAUGUAAAUUAAGAGAUUAACUGAACCUCAGUGGGUAAACUGGCUAUGCAGUGAAUGAAUGUUGAUGCCAUUGAGAUGUACAUUUAUAUUUGUCACAGCUUUGAUUAACAUCCUAAAGUCUUUUUUUUGUUGCUCUUAGCCCUAUUACUUUAACUUUUUUUUAAUGUUCGCGCUCAGGAUCACUGGGCAACUUUUAUGUGAAUUAUUCCUUGUUUUUGUUGUUUUGCCAAUUCAAGGUUCAAGGCUGCUUUCAUUAUGAAAGGGAAGACUGUCUUGGAUUGAAGACAUUGAUGCAUUAAAAAUGUUAUUGUCAGGUCCAAAAAAACAUCUCGAUACAUUCCCACCUCCUAACCCUCCGCUCACUGGUCUGUGUGGUUUCACUUUUCCUUUGCAGUAAUCCCUGGCUCUGCACUGAGUAGGUCCCCAACCCUCGAGCUUUGCUAAGGGACCAGCCUUUGUCAGUGCUAAGUACCUCAAAUGUGACCAGAGGCUUUUUGGACCCCUUCCUUCAGGGUUUCUUAAUCAUUACCUGCUCCUGCUAUGAUAUGGGUUGAUGUAUAUUUGUGUUCACUGCUGCUCUAACCUCAUCAUAGGAAAUCUAAUUCUUGCUUCAUUCCCUCUGCUUUAUGCUCAAUGUGUGAACUGUUUUUUGUUGUUGUUGUUGUUGUUGCUGUGACUAAUGCCCUUUUCCACUUUUAUUAGAUUAGAUGCACACGUUCUGUAAUGUUUGGAAAGCACAUUUAAACCGUGGCUCACUUAAGCUGUUUUCAGACAUGAACUCUGGAACAUUUUCCGAAAAAUUGGGUCUGGACUUUUUCCGGAGUUUGCCAUUCACAUUAUGAAGAACGAAGUAGGAGAUUUUCCAUGUCAGACGUGUUCACAGCAGCAGGAAAAUUAGUGGAACAUUCAGGUGAGGGGUGGCGCCAGGGUAGAGCGCCCACUCUGCUGUAUUCACACAUGGGCUCACAGACAUUUUUUUCUGGAAAUUUUACAAGGGGGUUGGCAGGAAAAGUUCUGGAAACUGUCCAGAGCAACAUUUGCGUUCUCACAUGCAGCCCCUCUGGAAAAAGCUCUGGAAAAUGUCAGGACUAAAGUACAUGUCCAAAAGCAGCUUUAGAUGGACCACAUUCUCACAUUCUAGUAGAUCUGUUUUAACAAUCACCAGAGGGCACGGUAUCAUUUUCUUAUACACACUAUGUAUUGUUUAAAUAACUUCAAUCAAAGGGGUUUCACUGCCUGAUUUUGUAUUCAUGAUCAAUUUUCUUCCUGAUGUCUGAUGCACUUCGAAAUCUUUACUCUGGCCCUUGAAGUUUUUUUAAAGUGUUUCGGCUUUACCAACUCUCCUAACUGCUGGCUUUCUCUCUUUGUCUCUUCAGCUUCUUUUAAUCUGUCUUGGCCACCUGAAGAGGGGAUUGCAGCUUCAGCAGAACUAAGCACCCUUUACCUCUUCCUGUUUUUCUCAUCGCAUCAACCUUUUAUAUAUUUUCUCCCCAUCGCAUCUCCUUUUGUUGACUAUGGCCUUAUGUGGACUCGCAUGGUAUUUCUGGCCACCUAAUGAAGCUCUAAACCGAGGCAGGUUGGGUUUCGGACAAAGUUGAAAAUCUGCUAUUAUGUCUUAAUGUAUAUAAAGCUUGUAGUUCAUGGAAGUCAUCAGUAUAGGGCUUUACACAUCUACAGGGCUUGAGGACUUGAAAUACAAUUGCAAAUGACCUACACUAUGCACUCAUCUUAGUAGGAUUCUUAAUGCAAAGUGCACAUUAGAAAUAAACCGUGAAACAUUGAAACUUGCUGAUUAAACAAGGACAGAAGCACUUAAUGCACCAUGUGUAAUGUGUUCCCAAGUACAAUAUAAUGAGAUGGACAAUAAUCAGGACUCUUGUGCAUCUACUCCCUUUAAAAAAAAAAAGCAUCCUGCAUCCAGGUCAUCUAAAUAUCGAAAUUAAAUGGCAGAAUUAAAAUAGUCAUAAUCAUCAAAAGCCAAAGCAAUAUUUAUACUUAGCAAAUCAUUUUAUGGUACCCAUGUUUACACGGCACUGUUGAAUACCAUGCAGGUCACAUGUCAUGGCCUUUAAUUACACACUGUGCUUUAAUAUUCACAAGCCUAUUUUUUAUUUUGCAUGCGUCUUUUUUUAUUUGAUUACCGCUGUGAUGACCUGCUUGUUUUUAUCCCCUUAUUACUCAGUUUUGCAGCCUAUUUCAAUUUCCUUGCUGUUUUUUUCAAAAUGGUGCAAAUUAUUAAUGUAUAUUUUAACUGUCCUCUGAUUUCAGCUCCCAUUUUGCCAAAUAUUAGAAUAAGAUGAGGUUAAACUGAAUCCAGAUGGGAGUAUAAAAAAAUACUCAUGCAUUUAUAUAAUUUAUAAGGAUAUAUUUUGUGUAUUGAAGUGGAGACUUGUUGUUUAUUACCUAUGACCUUUGGACGUGUCUCUCAGUGUAAAGUAAUAUUUUGGUGUCAGACAUUGCCAUACAUUUUUCUAGUAUCAGUCAUCACCACUUAAAAAAAACCUCCCCCAUACUACAAAUUAUUUAAUAUCUUACUUAAGUUUGAUUCCAUUGAUGUACAUUUUCAAUAAAAAACUCGAUCCAAA